RNAcentral lists this ribosomal RNA (250 nucleotides) under uncultured bacterium. RNAcentral describes it as "partial 16S ribosomal RNA". It matches the Rfam family "Bacterial small subunit ribosomal RNA", at positions 808 to 1058 of the family's 1533-position model. The record is from RNAcentral.
GUUGGGGACUAGGUGUGGGGUCUGUUCCACGGAUUCUGCGCCGGAGCUAACGCGUUAAGUUCCCCGCCUGGGGAGUACGGCCGCAAGGCUAAAACUCAAAGGAAUUGACGGGGGCCCGCACAAACGGCGGAGCAUGCGGAUUAAUUCGAUGCAACGCGAAGAACCUUACCAAGGCUUGACAUGUGCCGGGAGGGCGCGGAGACGCGUCUGCCUUCGGGCCGGUUCACAGGUGGUGCAUGGCUGUCGUCAG